UUCUCAUUGAGCUGGUAAGGUAGUUCAGCAUCUGUUUAAUAAACUUCCUGUUCGCUCACUUCUCUAGAAGCGUUUCCCCGUUCAAAGCCUCAGUGGCUCAUCGCCUUGGUGAUAAGCUUCGAGUCCCUGUACAGUUGUGUGUGGUCCUCUGACACUCCCCCAACCCCUCACAAGAUCACACAAUGUACUGCUUCAAGAUGGCUUCAAAAUGACAAUCCUUUAAGAACAAAAUGCUAAGGACUUAACUGAAUUAAAAAACACACAUUUAUUUGACUCCUUUAGGGCUCUCAAACGGUAUCCUUGGGUGAUGCAAUUCAUAUUACCUGCACAGAGGAAAGUAAGAACGCAACAAGGUGAAUUUCAAAGCUCCAUAUCUCAGCAACCUGUCCUUGAGGGAAGUAGAGCUUGUAUGGGCUCAGUUAUGUUAUGAUACUUUGAUCAGUUUU
Long non-coding RNA from Anguilla anguilla (European eel), 446 nucleotides. RefSeq lists it as uncharacterized. NCBI's taxonomy places the organism in Eukaryota, Metazoa, Chordata, Actinopteri, Anguilliformes, Anguillidae. The transcript has 3 exons. The record is from RefSeq and is a predicted model, not a curated record.